GUCUUUGCGUUUCGGGCAAUGAAGAAGCUAGUGAGGUGGUGACCGAGGCACGUCUAUUGCUGGUAGAAAAUUGUUUCCGAACCCUCUCUUAGGCUUGAAUUUUGCUCAAGCCUUCGAUGAGAUGAACGAGAUAUUGGUGCGGUUCAAU
This is a small nuclear RNA of Trifolium pratense (red clover), 148 nucleotides long. RefSeq annotates it as U4 spliceosomal RNA. NCBI's taxonomy places the organism in Eukaryota, Viridiplantae, Streptophyta, Magnoliopsida, Fabales, Fabaceae. The transcript has a single exon. The record is from RefSeq and is a predicted model, not a curated record.